CCAGCCUCACACUCCCCUGUCUCCAGCCAGCCCCUGCUGCACCCCCAUGCCCGAAGCCAGCCAACCUCACACGCCCCUGUCUCCAGCCAACUCCGCAUCCCAUCUUCAACCAGCUCUGCAUCCCCUGCCCUGCCCGAAGCCAGCCAGCCCCACACCCUGUCAGCUCAGAGAAAAGGCAGGAAUAUUUGUUGAAGGAAGCCAUCCUGGAUCAGAUGAGAGCUGCUGAUCUGGAGCAGCACACAGCAUCACAAGGUGUCAGGAAUGCAGCACUUCGACUCUCCACUGAGAGGAAUGGGGGAACUGUGAGUUUAAAGGAAUCUGUGACCCGCAACCCCAUGUGGCAGGUGUCAUGUCACAGUUUGGAAAGACACAGUUUUAUGGACUUACAUAAAAUGAAAAAGCAUUUGUCUCAAGACUAAUGUCCUCCAAACGAAGACGGAAAUUCUACUGGUAAAGAACUUGUUAAAAAAAUACAAUAUAUUGUCAGGGAGCAUUCAGGGUAAUAGGCAUAGAUGCUCCCCUGCAUUUGGAAUGUGUUGCACCAUGCGUCUUGCCACAGGUGCCAACUUUCAGCUUUCCUCAGGGGUGCUCCACCACCACUCUGCCCAAAGGCCCUGUCCCCAUUCUGCCCCUUCCCUCCAAGCCCAACCCUCACUCUGCCUGUUCCUGCCCCCAUCCUUUCCCCUCCUCCAGAGGCCCCACCCCACCCUGCCUCUUCUUGCCCCCGCUCCUCUCACCCACCACUGAACAGUUGAUCAGCAGUGGGCAGGAGGCACUGGGGGGAUUGGGAGGGAGAGGUGCUGAUCGGCAGGGCCUGCUGAACAGCUAUUUUUUUCCCCAUGGGUGUUCCAGCCCUGGAGCACCCACGGAGUCGGCGCCUAUGCUUCCUGCAUAAAACUGCAUUAAAGGUCAAGGGCAGUGAAAUCCCGCAGUAUGACAAUCCCUGCGCUGGUCAUGACCCAAUAGGCAAUGGCAACACUUCCUGCACUUCAGCUGCUAUAUCAGCCCAUUGAGACCACUGGUAGUCUGUAUAAUUUAGAAUUGCCUUCAGGCUGCCCUUUUGCAGGAGGACUGACUUGAUGCACAUUGGUCAAUGAUCAUGGGUGUAACCAGAGUGCCUUAAAGCACCACCCUUUCCAUGUUCACUUUUUAGCCACCACCAAGAUUCUAGGCCAUAUGUUUCAAUGAGGACACACCCUGUGGCUAAAACCAGCUGUGCUUGAAACUUUUUUGUGGUCAGGGAAGGGGUUUAUGGAUUAUGCCAAACUUUCUGUAUCUUGCUUCAAGUUUUUGCCAAUAAUCUGAGUUGUGUUUUGUGCACAGAUUAACCUGAUCCUCUGUAUUAUCUGAUUUACUUUUCUAUUAUGAACUCAUACUCUUACUU
Mauremys mutica (yellowpond turtle) is the source of this 1384-nucleotide long non-coding RNA. RefSeq lists it as uncharacterized. The record is from RefSeq and is a predicted model, not a curated record. The transcript has 3 exons. NCBI's taxonomy places the organism in Eukaryota, Metazoa, Chordata, Testudines, Geoemydidae.